Molecule: ribosomal RNA, 691 nt
Filed under: Mallomonas sp.
Lineage: Eukaryota; Synurophyceae; Synurales; Mallomonadaceae
Description: eukaryotic LSU rRNA
Rfam family: Eukaryotic large subunit ribosomal RNA
Source: RNAcentral
ACUGUUAAUCUUCGGAAUUGUAGUCUGUAUAAGCCAGGUCAGCAGUAUCAUUCAGUAAAGUGUCCUGGAACGGACUGCCAAGGAGGGUGAUAGCCCCGUCUACACUGAAUGUGAAUGCGUACGACCGGUUUUCAAAGAGUCGAGUUGCUUGGGACUGCAGCUCUAAGUGGGUGGUAAAUUCCAUCUAAAGCUAAAUAUUGGUGGGAGACCGAUAGCAAACAAGUACCGUGAGGGAAAGAUGAAAAGAACUUUGAAAAGAGAGUUAAAGAGUACCUGAAAUUGCUGAAAUGGAACCGAUGGGAGGCAGUGUUGGUGUGCAACUGAGUUUCUCGGUUGUGCACAAGUCAGGCUUAUUUGGCGUUGUGGUAGAGAUCCCAAACCUGCAUGGGCUGGGAAUAUCAUCAUGAUGUUGAAUGACUCUGACGAAAUGCCUCUCAUCAUCCCGUCUUGAAACACGGACCAAGGAGUCUAACAUGUUUGCGAGUGCUCGGAGUUCAUCUCCAAGCGCGAAAUUAACGUGAAUGUAACCUAGUUACAUAGGUAGGAUGCUUAGGCUGCACUAUCGACCGACCAUGAUCCUACGGGAGAAAGGUUUGAGUGUGAGCACACAUGUUGGGACCCGAAAGAUGGUGAACUAUGCUUGAGUAGGACGAAGCCAGGGGAAACUCUGGUGGAGGUCCGCAGCGAUUCU